This 231-nucleotide ribosomal RNA is filed under the name Pseudomonas aeruginosa. RNAcentral's name for it is "partial 16S ribosomal RNA". It matches the Rfam family "Bacterial small subunit ribosomal RNA", at positions 1303 to 1533 of the family's 1533-position model. The record is from RNAcentral. Lineage: Bacteria; Pseudomonadati; Pseudomonadota; Gammaproteobacteria; Pseudomonadales; Pseudomonadaceae. RNAcentral also lists the same sequence under 4 other names.
GUCUGCAACUCGACUCCAUGAAGUCGGAAUCGCUAGUAAUCGUAGAUCAGAAUGCUACGGUGAAUACGUUCCCGGGCCUUGUACACACCGCCCGUCACACCAUGGGAGUGGGUUGCAAAAGAAGUAGGUAGCUUAACCUUCGGGAGGGCGCUUACCACUUUGUGAUUCAUGACUGGGGUGAAGUCGUAACAAGGUAACCGUAGGGGAACCUGCGGUUGGAUCACCUCCUUA